CCCUGGCUCAGAUUGAACGCUGGCGGCAUGCCUUACACAUGCAAGUCGAACGGCAGCACGGGAGCAAUCCUGGUGGCGAGUGGCGAACGGGUGAGUAAUAUAUCGGAACGUGCCCAGUCGUGGGGGAUAACGUAGAGAAAUUUACGCUAAUACCGCAUACGAUCUAAGGAUGAAAGCGGGGGACUCGCAAGAGCCUCGCGCGAUUGGAGCGGCUGAUAUCAGAUUAGGUUGUUGGUGAGGUAAAAGCUCACCAAGCCGACGAUCUGUAGCUGGUUUGAGAGAACGACCAGCCACACUGGGACUGAGACACGGCCCAGACUCCUACGGGAGGCAGCAGUGGGGAAUUUUGGACAAUGGGCGAAAGCCUGAUCCAGCAAUGCCGCGUGCAGGAAGAAGGCCUUCGGGUUGUAAACUGCUUUUGUACGGAACGAAACGGUCUGCCCUAAUACGGCGGGCUAAUGACGGUACCGUAAGAAUAAGCACCGGCUAACUA
RNAcentral lists this ribosomal RNA (493 nucleotides) under Polaromonas sp. CL5.37. RNAcentral describes it as "bacterial SSU rRNA". It matches the Rfam family "Bacterial small subunit ribosomal RNA", at positions 17 to 503 of the family's 1533-position model. Lineage: Bacteria; Pseudomonadati; Pseudomonadota; Betaproteobacteria; Burkholderiales; Comamonadaceae. The record is from RNAcentral.